UACGUAGGGUGCAAGCGUUGUCCGGAAUUAUUGGGCGUAAAGAGCUCGUAGGCGGUCUGUCGCGUCGGCUGUGAAAACCCGGAGCUCAACCUCGGGCCUGCAGUGGGUACGGGCAGACUGGAGUGCGGUAGGGGAGAAUGGAAUUCCUGGUGUAGCGGUGAAAUGCGCAGAUAUCAGGAAGAACACCCGUGGCGAAGGCGGCUCUCUGGGACGGUACUGACGCUGAGACGCGAAAGCGUGGGGAGCGAACAGG
This 253-nucleotide ribosomal RNA is filed under the name uncultured bacterium. RNAcentral's name for it is "partial 16S ribosomal RNA". It matches the Rfam family "Bacterial small subunit ribosomal RNA", at positions 524 to 776 of the family's 1533-position model. The record is from RNAcentral.